GAUGAACGCUGCCGCCUUGCCAAUACAUUCCAAGCGGAGGGAACGACCGGGAGGUUGCCUUCCCUGUGUUUACCGCGGGACGGGGGGUUAAAACUUGGAUAACUACCUUAUAGGACGGGGAAACCUUCGGAAAACGGGAGUUAAUACCGAAUAAUAUUUUAAACCGCUUGUUUCAAAGGUAAAAGAGGGUCUUCCGGUCACUAAUAGAUGAAUCCGCGCUGCAUUAGCUAGUUGGUAAGGUAACGGCUUACCAAGGCAACGAUGCAUAGCCGACCUGAGAGGGUGAUCGGCCACACUGGAACUGAGACACGGUCCAGACUCCUACGGGAGGCAGCAGUAGGGAAUCUUCCGCAAUGGGCGAAAGCCUGACGGAGCAACGCCGCGUGAGUGAUGAAGGUCUUCGGAUCGUAAAACUCUGUUAUUAGGGAAGAACAUAUGUGUAAGUAACUGUGCACAUCUUGACGGUACCUAAUCAGAAAGCCACGGCUAACUACGUG
RNAcentral lists this ribosomal RNA (497 nucleotides) under uncultured bacterium. RNAcentral's name for it is "partial 16S ribosomal RNA". It matches the Rfam family "Bacterial small subunit ribosomal RNA", at positions 28 to 507 of the family's 1533-position model. The record is from RNAcentral.